GAACACAUCUUGUGCUCCUUGGUAUUCUGAGGAGCAUGCCUGUUUGAGUGUCAUUAAAUUCUCAACUACACUGACUUUGAAUUGGUGUGGCUUGGAUUUGGGGGGGAAAAUUGUUGUGGGCUUUUUGUAUAGUCUGCUCCCCUGAAAUUGAUUAGCGGUACCAUUGUGGAACUGUCUACAGGUGUGAUAAUUAUCUACAUCCUAGACAUCUGCUGGAAUGCUGCUUUCUAAACCUUACUUGUAUUGACAAUCUUGACCUCAAAUCAGGUAGGACUACCCGCUGAACUUAAG
This 291-nucleotide unclassified non-coding RNA is filed under the name uncultured Inocybe. Its description in RNAcentral is "sequence contains 5.8S rRNA gene". The record is from RNAcentral. Lineage: Eukaryota; Fungi; Basidiomycota; Agaricomycetes; Agaricales; Cortinariaceae.